CCUACGGGGGGCAGCAGUGAGGAAUAUUGCACAAUGGGGGAAACCCUGAUGCAGCGACGCCGCGUGAGUGAAGAAGUCUUUCGGUUUGUAAAGCUCUAUCAGCAGGGAAGAAGCAAGACGGUACCUUACUAAGAAGCCCCGGCUAACUACGUACCAGCAGCCGCGGUUAUCAGGAGGGGGCAAGCGUUAUCCGGAUUGACUGGGUGUAAAGGGAGCGUAGACGGCAGGUCAAGUCGGGAGUGAAAGGCGGGGGCUCAACCCCCGGACUGCUCUGGAAACUGUCCGGCUUGAGUGCAGGAGAGGUAAGUGGAAUUCCUAGUGUAGCGGUGAAAUGCGUAGAUAUUAGGAGGAACACCAGUGGCGAAGGCGGCUUACUGGACUGUAACUGACGUUGAGGCUCGAAAGCGUGGGGAGCAAACAGGAUUAGAUACCCUUGUAGUC
RNAcentral lists this ribosomal RNA (441 nucleotides) under uncultured bacterium. RNAcentral's name for it is "partial 16S ribosomal RNA". It matches the Rfam family "Bacterial small subunit ribosomal RNA", at positions 338 to 795 of the family's 1533-position model. The record is from RNAcentral.